UACGUAGGGGGCUAGCGUUGUCCGGAAUCAUUGGGCGUAAAGCGCGUGUAGGCGGUCCGGUAAGUCCGCUGUGAAAGUCGGGGGCUCAACCCUCGGAUGCCGGUGGAUACUGUCGGGCUUGAGUACGGAAGAGGCGAGUGGAAUUCCUGGUGUAGCGGUGAAAUGCGCAGAUAUCAAGGAGGAACACCAAUUGCGAAGGCAGCUCGCUGGGACGUUACUGACGCUCAGGCGCGACAGCGUGGGGAUCAAACAGG
RNAcentral lists this ribosomal RNA (254 nucleotides) under uncultured bacterium. Its description in RNAcentral is "partial 16S ribosomal RNA". It matches the Rfam family "Bacterial small subunit ribosomal RNA", at positions 524 to 776 of the family's 1533-position model. The record is from RNAcentral.